RNAcentral lists this ribosomal RNA (552 nucleotides) under uncultured archaeon. RNAcentral's name for it is "bacterial SSU rRNA". It matches the Rfam family "Archaeal small subunit ribosomal RNA", at positions 85 to 642 of the family's 1478-position model. The record is from RNAcentral.
ACGGCUCAGUAACACGUAGUCAACAUGCCCAGGGGACGUGGAUAACCUCGGGAAACUGAGGAUAAACCGCGAUAGGCCAAGGUUUCUGGAAUGGACACUGGCUGAAACCUAUAUGGCCCCUGGAUUGGACUGCGGCCGAUCAGGCUGUUGGUGAGGUAAUGGCCCACCAAACCUGUAACCGGUACGGGCUUUGAGAGAAGGAGCCCGGAGAUGGGCACUGAUACAAGGGCCCAGGCCCUAUGGGGCGCAGCAGGCGCGAAAAUUCUGCAAUAGGCGAAAGCUUGACAGAGUUACUCUGAGUGAUGCCCGCUAAGGGCAUCUUUUGGCACCUCUAAAAAUGGUGCAGAAUAAGGGGUGGGCAAGUCUGGUGUCAGCCGCCGCGGUAAUACCAGCACCCCGAGUGGUCGGGACGAUUAUUGGGCCUAAAGCAUCCGUAUCUUGUUCUGCAAGUCUUCCGUUAAAUCCACUGCUCUACAGAUGGGCUGCGGGAGAUACUACAGGGUUAGGAGGAGGAAAAGGCAAGCGGCCUCUAUGGGUAGGGGAAAAAUCCUC